This is a non-coding RNA of Taeniopygia guttata (zebra finch), 3344 nucleotides long. Lineage: Eukaryota; Metazoa; Chordata; Aves; Passeriformes; Estrildidae. The record is from RefSeq and is a predicted model, not a curated record.
GGGACAGGCUGUGGUGUGCCCUGUGAGGGACAGGGACAGGGACAGGGUGUGGUGUGCCCUGUGAGGUACAGGGACAGGCUGUGCUGUAUGGCACAGGGACUGCCUUUGGUGUGCCCUGUAAGAGACAAUGUGUCACCAAAGCCCGGCCUGAUGCACGAAGGGAUUUUGUGUGGCUCACUGGGGAGCUGAGUGAUUUUACAGAGUUUGGUGGCUGUGUGUGGGAGGGUGAGAGCCCACAUGCAAGGGGUGGAGAGGUGGCUGAGUCUUCCAGGAAUUGGUUAGAAAGGGAUCUCAGGUAUAUGAAAGAUGAGAAAGAAGGAAUGAGGAAAAGGUAAGGGUACAGGCAAGGAUGAUGGCGCAGUUUUUACAACCACCAGUUGGAAAAGCUGCAGGGAGCCCCAGGAGCAAAGGGAAGGGGGCAGCCACCAGGACAGUGACUGGGAAGGAGUCAGUGUGGCAUUUGUAAAAAAGAACAUUGGAAAUGGAUUGUUAAGGGUGUCAGGAUCUGCUAUUGUACCUGGGCUCAUCACACUGGAGCCCUUGCUGGACCAAGAAUUGUUUCCUGGUAGACAUGGGAACUUCUCUGUCUGAUGUGAAUUUUAUGCCAAAGGGGGAACAAUUGUUCAGCUGUUCUUUUGCCAAGUGGGCAGAAUGAGCAGGUGCAUUUGGUUCAAGCACUGUUGGUGAAUGUGUGUGGAUGGGAAUGAGCACUCUGGGUGUUAUAUCCACAGCUGCGUCUACCCAUUCCCUUCAAACAUGUAGUACAGGGUUGGGAGAGGCCAGGAAGAACGAGACAUGAACAGUGUUGUGUCCACUGGGUUGUUUUACACUUUUUCUCUAUGGAACAAUAUUUAUCACUUUUGGUUUUUUUAACCCAGUUUAAGGCUCUGUACUGACUGUGUGUGGCAAAACUGAAGGGCUACCACGAGCCAGCUGAGUCCUCUGGCUUGCUCAGAUCAUGCUGCUGAGGAGCCAGCUCCUUGGGAAGAUGGAUAGAGGGACUAGGUGAGGAUAGAAGCUGUGGGAGAGUCUGCUUUGCCUCCCUGCCCCUGCCAGCCUGGUUCUGGGACCUGGCUCUGGUUCUGGUACCUGGGCUGCUGCAGGCUGCUCCUCCCUGGGAGCUGAGGGUGCAGAGCCCCAGGGGCUGCCUGAGGUUACAGGGGUUUCUUGAGGUCACUUGGGGUUUCUUGAGGUCAUUGGAAGCUCUGGUAGGAGUUUCUUGAAGUCACUGCAGUCCCUGGGAGGCUAUCUCUCUCUGUUAAUGGACUAUCAAGUCUCACUGCAUGCCUCAUAAAUUCCAUCAUCCCAUUGUGAGAUGCUCCACCCAGAGGGAGGAACCAAACACCCACCUGGUUAUAACUGGGGGUUUUGGAACACCAGAGCUGCCUUUUUUUUAUAGGAUUCCCAGGGGACAAGCUCUACAUAACCACCACUGGACCUUCAGAAGAAGACCAGAACCUUCCACAGGAUCACUGCUUCAUCAGAAUCACAUCUGUCACUCCAGGAGGAUUGCAGCCACCAUUUAACAGGACUGCUACCACCACUCUGACCCCCAGAGUGCCAGGGUGAACUACCUGCCUGCUGUAAUGCUCCUGUUGAGACCAGGGAAUGCCUGCACCGUGUAUACCAUGCUUGGGAACACAACAUGACCUGGUGUGGCACAAUAUCUUCUCAAGGAGGAGGAAAGAAGGAGAAAGUCAGCAGACACCACAUCUGCACAGCCUGCCACAGAGGGAAAAGGAACCCAAAGGGCAGUCCGUGCUUCCACACAGAUCAUCACCAAACCAGGACAGCCCGAGCCAGCAGCAGCUGCCCCUGUUCAGAAGAAGAAAUCCAAGAGCAAAUCCAUCCACACAGUGACUGAUGAGGAGGUGGCCAGACCCUCACACCCAGCAGAAGAGCCAGAGCCAGGGGUCAUCACUCUCUGUCUGUCCCUGGGUGGGCUGCCAGAUUCCCCAGAGCAAUGAGUCCAUCCUGGCCUGGCUGCUCUGCCUCUGGGACACCACAGCCAGUGACACAGCUGUGGACAGAAGUGAGGCCAGGCAGCUGGGAUCCCUGUCCUGGGAUGUGCUGGUGCCCAGGAGACCAGGAGAACCCAGGAAACUCUCAGCCUCUGGCAGUGGCUGCUGGUGAGGGUUAGGGAUGGAUGCCUUUGUAAAGAAGACCUCCAGGUGCACCAAGGGAAAUGGAGCACAGUGGAACAAGGAGAUAUUUUUUCCCUAAGAGCCCCAAGGGUGUACAGUGCACUUUGCAGAUGUGGUUGAGAUUUGCAUGUCUUGGACCAGAGAGAUCCUCCUGUCAUCUGGAGAUGCUGCAGUGGGGGGAAGGAGAAGACAAGGUGGGAGCACUGGUCAGCAAGCUAAGAAUUUACAAGGGCACUGUCACUGCCCUCUUAUGCACCCAUGACUUGUCCAUGGAAACAAAGCUGCUUGAGCACGUCUGGAGCUUGGAAGAAAAAAAUGAAGAGGGCCACCAGAAACUGAGAAAGGAGCUUCAGGAAGGCAUUUACCACAUCUCACCAGAACCAGCUAGUCUCUGCCUUUAGGAGUACAUGUCCUCCAGCCAGGAAGAGAAAAUACACUCCAAAGUAACCUCUGUUUUUUCUUUCAGGAACAUGGGAUGGAAACCCCCCCUCCUCCUCCUUAGCAGCCUGGGUUCCUGAACAGAAAAGAGGAACAUCUACCAGAAGCAGCUCAUCUAGAGUCAACAGUGCUCUGGUCUCAUGGACAGAACUCUGGUUGGUAUAGGAAUGAUAAUAUUUUUCUGAUUCUCUUGAAGGGACCUCGGGAACACAUUUACAGGAGGAGACCAACGUGUGCCUUGGCCAGUAUUAGAGGGGCCCUGCCUCUAGCCAGGUGGAGGAAAGGGGCAGGAAGAUUUAUUGGACUGUGUGGAUCCCAUGGUCUGGCACAGCUUUGGUGGACACCAAUGUAUCCUGAUGCCACCAAGGUAUGUGGGAGCAGAACCCAUUUGUAUUUCUGGGGUGACAGCAGGAUCCCAGCAGCUGAAGUGAAUUUAUCUGAGAGUGGCUGGCCCAGAUAAGAGUCUCCUGCAUCUUCAGCACAGACCACCUCAGAAAAGGGUAUUUCAAAGACCCAAAAGGACAUCAUUGGGCUGUUGGGAUUGCUGCUAUAGAGACAGAAAGCAGACAACUGAAUGCCCUGCCUGAUCUCUCAGCUGAGCCCCCUCUGUUGGACUGCUGAGAGCUGAAGAACAACAGGAACCAAUCACCACAGCAACAGUGCACCAGCAGCAAUUCUUCAUCAUAAUAUAAAUUUGCUAUAGAACAUCACAACAAGGGCAAAGUGCCUUUUUUUUCCCCCCUUAAUUAAAACAAAAUAAAA